GGUUGUGGCUCAAUGGUAGAGCGCUUGCCUCACAUGUAUGAGGUCCUGGGUUCAAUCUUCAGCACCA
This 67-nucleotide transfer RNA is filed under the name Marmota monax (woodchuck). It matches the Rfam family "tRNA". Rfam says of the family: Transfer RNA (tRNA) molecules are approximately 80 nucleotides in length. Their secondary structure includes four short double-helical elements and three loops (D, anti-codon, and T loops). The record is from Rfam by way of RNAcentral. Lineage: Eukaryota; Metazoa; Chordata; Mammalia; Rodentia; Sciuridae.